RNAcentral lists this ribosomal RNA (397 nucleotides) under uncultured bacterium. RNAcentral describes it as "bacterial SSU rRNA". It matches the Rfam family "Bacterial small subunit ribosomal RNA", at positions 106 to 499 of the family's 1533-position model. The record is from RNAcentral.
GUGAGUAAUAUAUCGGAACGUGCCCAGUAGUGGGGGAUAACUGCUCGAAAGAGCAGCUAAUACCGCAUACGACCUGAGGGUGAAAGGGGGGGAUCGCAAGACCUCUCGCUAUUGGAGCGGCCGAUAUCAGAUUAGCUAGUUGGUGGGGUAAAGGCCUACCAAGGCAACGAUCUGUAGUUGGUCUGAGAGGACGACCAGCCACACUGGGACUGAGACACGGCCCAGACUCCUACGGGAGGCAGCAGUGGGGAAUUUUGGACAAUGGGCGCAAGCCUGAUCCAGCCAUGCCGCGUGAGUGAAGAAGGCCUUCGGGUUGUAAAGCUCUUUUGUCCGGGAGCAAAACCUGCCCACUAAUACUGGGCCGGGAUGAGAGUACCGGAAGAAUAAGCACCGGCUA